This 489-nucleotide long non-coding RNA is filed under the name Ananas comosus (pineapple). RNAcentral's name for it is "long non-coding RNA (ACOM_LNC012806)". The record is from RNAcentral. Lineage: Eukaryota; Viridiplantae; Streptophyta; Magnoliopsida; Poales; Bromeliaceae.
AAAAUGUUGAAUUUAAAACUUAAGGGCCGUUUGGUUGCAUGUAGUUGCAACUGUACGGCAGUUGUAACUGUAUAUAAAUACAAACUCGGUAUUUGAUUUGAUGUAUUUAACUCCAACUGCUGCAGUAAGAAGUGCAGGAGGUGGUCCAACUGCAACAGUUGGAACAACGCACAAAUUGGCUGCAAUUCUAACUGCAACAGUUGGAAAGUGUAACUUUAAAUAAAAGGUAACCUUGCCUCUUUAAAUAUUUUUUAAAUAGAAAAUAAAUUUUUUGUUACAUUAGAGGUAAUCUCACCAUUAUAUAUAUAAAAUAAUAAAAUUUUAAAAAUAUUUCUCAACUGCAUGGAACUAAAUAAAUUAUUUGUAGUUGCGGCGCUUUCUACUACAUCCAACCAAACAUGAUGUAUGUAAUUAUAACUGUUGUAUUUUUAACUAUAUGCAUAUUUAAUUAUAUUGUAUUUAUAAUUAGAUACAACCAAACGGCCCUUA